CGCGGGAUGGAUCAGCUUGGUAGCUCGUCGGGCUCAUAACCCGAAGGUCGUAGGUUCAAAUCCUGCUCCCUCAACCA
Molecule: transfer RNA, 77 nt
Filed under: Altererythrobacter insulae
Lineage: Bacteria; Pseudomonadati; Pseudomonadota; Alphaproteobacteria; Sphingomonadales; Erythrobacteraceae
Description: Altererythrobacter sp. BPTF-M16 tRNA-Met
Rfam family: tRNA
About the family: Transfer RNA (tRNA) molecules are approximately 80 nucleotides in length.
Source: RNAcentral